CUUGCGGUCAUACCACGUUGAAACACCAAUUCCCUUAUGAUCAACGAAGUUAAGCAACGUCGAAACUGGUCAAUAGCUUGAUGGGCGACCGAAUCGGAGUAACAAGUGCUGUAA
Molecule: non-coding RNA, 114 nt
Organism: Acanthosepion pharaonis
Lineage: Eukaryota; Metazoa; Mollusca; Cephalopoda; Sepiida; Sepiidae
Source: the annotation of a GenBank genome assembly